GGAGAGUUGUCCGAGUGGUUGAAGGAGCACGCCUGGAAAGCGUGUAUACGGGUCCCCGUAUCGAGGGUUCAAAUCCCUCACUCUCCG
Molecule: non-coding RNA, 87 nt
Organism: Megamonas funiformis YIT 11815
Lineage: Bacteria; Bacillati; Bacillota; Negativicutes; Selenomonadales; Selenomonadaceae
Source: Rfam